GAUGAACGCUAGCGGCAGGCCUAAUACAUGCAAGUCGAACGGUAACAUGAGUAGCAAUACUUGAUGACGAGUGGCGCACGGGUGCGUAACGCGUAUGCAAUCUACCUUUAACUGGUGAAUAGCCCGAAGAAAUUCGGAUUAAUACACCAUAGUAUAUUGAGGAGGCAUCUCCUUAAUAUUAAAACUCCGGUGGUUAAAGAUGAGCAUGCGUGACAUUAGCUAGUUGGUGAGGUAACGGCUCACCAAGGCAACGAUGUCUAGGGGAUCUGAGAGGAUUAACCCCCACACUGGUACUGAGACAGGGACCAGACUCCUACGGGAGGCAGCAGUAAGGAAUAUUGGACAAUGGUCGCAAGACUGAUCCAGCCAUGCCGCGUGAAGGAUGACGGCCCUAUGGGUUGUAAACUUCUUUUGUACGGGAAAAAACCCUUCUACGUGUAGAGGGCUGAUUGUACCGUAAGAAUAAGGAUCGGCUAACUCCGUGCCAGCAGCCGCCGUAA
RNAcentral lists this ribosomal RNA (500 nucleotides) under uncultured bacterium. RNAcentral's name for it is "partial 16S ribosomal RNA". It matches the Rfam family "Bacterial small subunit ribosomal RNA", at positions 28 to 523 of the family's 1533-position model. The record is from RNAcentral.